This 21-nucleotide small RNA is filed under the name Arabidopsis thaliana (thale cress). RNAcentral's name for it is "Ath_wt_14655". The record is from RNAcentral. Lineage: Eukaryota; Viridiplantae; Streptophyta; Magnoliopsida; Brassicales; Brassicaceae.
GGAGACGUCGCUGCCGUGAUC